UACGUAGGUGGCAAGCGUUGUCCGGAUUUAUUGGGUUUAAAGGGUGCGUAGGCGGCCUAUUAAGUCAGUUCUGAAAUAUCCCGGCUUAACCGGGAGGGUGGGAUUGAUACUGAUGGGCUUGAGUGGAAUCGAGGUAGGCGGAAUUGACGGUGUAGCGGUGAAAUGCUUAGAUAUCGUCAAGAACACCGAUAGUGUAGACAGCUUACUAGACUUCAACUGACGCUGAGGCACGAAAGUGUGGGGAUCAAACGGG
Molecule: ribosomal RNA, 253 nt
Filed under: uncultured bacterium
Lineage: Bacteria
Description: partial 16S ribosomal RNA
Rfam family: Bacterial small subunit ribosomal RNA
Source: RNAcentral